RNAcentral lists this ribosomal RNA (444 nucleotides) under Teinostoma sp. RG-2020. RNAcentral's name for it is "partial 16S rRNA". It matches the Rfam family "Archaeal large subunit ribosomal RNA", at positions 1908 to 2654 of the family's 2987-position model. Lineage: Eukaryota; Metazoa; Mollusca; Gastropoda; Littorinimorpha; Tornidae. The record is from RNAcentral.
AGCUCUAGGUGGUUGAAAAGAUCUAGAGUAAGACCUGCCCAAUGAAUUAUUAAAUGGCUGCGGUAUCCUGACCGUACAAAGGUAGCAUAAUCAGUUGCCAUCUAAUUAGUGGCUGGAAUGAAUGGUUUAACAUUGGUUUAGCUGUCUCUUAUCUAUUUAGUAGAAUUUUAUUUAUUAAGUGCAGAAGCUUUAAUACUAAAAAAAGACGAGAAGACCCCGAUGAGCUUAAAAAGUUUCUUUUUUUGGUUGGGGCGACUCUGGGGUGGGUCAAACCCCCAGAAAAAUUAAUAAAGAUCCACUUUUUGUGAGAAAUAAGAGGAGAAAAGCUACCACGGGGAUAACAGCAUUAUUUUUUCUAAGAGACCUUAUUGAAGAAAAAUUUAUGACCUCGAUGUUGGACUAGGGUACUUGAAAGUGCAGCAGUUUAAAAGUGAGUCGUGCAUC